This 496-nucleotide ribosomal RNA is filed under the name uncultured bacterium. Its description in RNAcentral is "partial 16S ribosomal RNA". It matches the Rfam family "Bacterial small subunit ribosomal RNA", at positions 28 to 507 of the family's 1533-position model. The record is from RNAcentral.
GAUGAACGCUGGCGGCGUGCCUAAUACAUGCAAGUCGAGCGAACGGACGAGAAGCUUGCUUCUCUGAUGUUAGCGGCGGACGGGUGAGUAACACGUGGAUAACCUACCUAUAAGACUGGGAUAACUUCGGGAAACCGGAGCUAAUACCGGAUAAUAUUUUGAACCGCAUGGUUCAAAAGUGAAAGACGGUCUUGCUGUCACUUAUAGAUGGAUCCGCGCUGCAUUAGCUAGUUGGUAAGGUAACGGCUUACCAAGGCAACGAUGCAUAGCCGACCUGAGAGGGUGAUCGGCCACACUGGAACUGAGACACGGUCCAGACUCCUACGGGAGGCAGCAGUAGGGAAUCUUCCGCAAUGGGCGAAAGCCUGACGGAGCAACGCCGCGUGAGUGAUGAAGGUCUUCGGAUCGUAAAACUCUGUUAUUAGGGAAGAACAUAUGUGUAAGUAACUGUGCACAUCUUGACGGGACCUAAUCAGAAAGCCACGGCUACUACGUG